Molecule: unclassified non-coding RNA, 240 nt
Filed under: soil metagenome
Description: partial contains 5.8S ribosomal RNA, internal transcribed spacer 2, and large subunit ribosomal RNA
Source: RNAcentral
AACCAUAGAAACCUGCGGAGUACCUGCGGAAGGAUCAUUAACGAAAAUAUAUAACUUUUUUAAUGGUAUUAAUACUUUUGAAGUAUUAAUAUUAUUAAAAUAAGCACUUUUUAAGUGAUUUUGUUAAAGUCUUUAACCUUUACUCUUUCUAUCUCUUUCUUUGAGAGAGAGAGUGUUUGAGAGAGUAUUUAGGUUAUUUAACUCCUUUAACAAUAAGUCUUAUAACCUUUUUGUUGCUAA